GACGAGGGAUCCUAGCGUUGUUCGGAAUCAUUGGGCGUAAAGCGGGUGUAGGUGGCUUUGUAAGUCAGGUGUGAAAUCCCAGGGCUCAACCCUGGACGUGCAUUUGAUACUGCGAAGCUUGAGUGUAGGAGAGGAUAGUAGAAUUCUUGGUGUAGUGGUGAAAUACGUAGAUAUCAAGAGGAAUACCGGAGGCGAAGGCGGCUAUCUGGCCUAACACUGACACUCAGACCCGAAAGCGUGGGGAUCAAACAGG
RNAcentral lists this ribosomal RNA (253 nucleotides) under uncultured bacterium. Its description in RNAcentral is "partial 16S ribosomal RNA". It matches the Rfam family "Bacterial small subunit ribosomal RNA", at positions 524 to 776 of the family's 1533-position model. The record is from RNAcentral.